This is a long non-coding RNA of Cyanistes caeruleus (blue tit), 2300 nucleotides long. RefSeq lists it as uncharacterized. The record is from RefSeq and is a predicted model, not a curated record. Lineage: Eukaryota; Metazoa; Chordata; Aves; Passeriformes; Paridae.
UAAACUCUCAGCCACCUAAACCAAACAAAGCAACACUUUCUCCUGCUUUUAGGGGCCACUAAGCACCUAUACAAUAUUCUACUGUAGCAUUUUUGAGUUGCCAGGGCUUAGAGAAUUCAUCCAGUGAUUUUGGCUGAGAUUCAGUCACACCAAAAUUAGAUUAGAUAACAUCCUCAGAGUAGGAGUCUGCACUUCCAUUUCUCUCUCAGUGUCCCUGCUGCCUUCCCUGGAAGAAACCUCCUACUUGGAGUGGUGGGGCAAGUGGUGAGGUGAGAUGCAGUGCACCUAAAGCGGCCUGAAAAUGCUAAAUGGCUCUGAUGAGUUUCUUCAAGCACUCUACCAGCUUUUCCAGGGGCCAAGAUCCCCACACAUCCAUAGAAGAUUGUGGUGACACUGAGAGCAUGUGGAAGGAUGUUCCUGUCCUUGAACCCAGCAGCAGACAGAGAACAAAGCCUGGUGUUUCGACAGAUAAUGUGCCACCUUCUUACCUCACAUGUGGCUUCUAGAAAUCUUUCAAACCUUUCUCUUUGAAUUAGCAGCAGAAAUUUGAAGAUAUUUCAUGUGAUGUUGGCAAUGGUCCUGUUUUCAGAGGAGGUUGGACUCAUCCUUCAGAGGUCUCUUCCAACCACUAUCUCCUCAGCCAUAUGAACCAGUCAAUAUUUAAUGCCCUGGAUUCAGGUCACUGAAUGCAAGCAUUGAAGGCCCAGUCCAUGUUUGUUGGGACAACAAAGCUCUUUUUCAGGCCAUAGAUAAAACUGAGCUUCUGAACUUAUGCAAUAUUUAUUUGCCACAAGUUUUCUCAGGCAUUAGUAGGAGAGAGGGUUCUUGUUUGAAAGCUCCAUAAAAGACACGUCAGAGAGAGACACCACAGCUCACUUUACCAGAAAGAGCAGCUGUUCUGCAGUAGUGCCCCAGCACCUCCUGCUUGUGCAGAGGGACGUGCCCAAAAAAGGAGGGUGCUUUGGCUUGUUCUGGACUCUCACAACAGUGACCUGUCUUCCUAGGGGUAGGUCUGGGCUGUGUCCUCCUGGGACAGAGGUGGAAGAGGGAGAGUGAGGGCACAAGGAUGUGAGCAGGGAAACAGAGAUGGGUGGUGUAGGAAAAUGAGAGAAAAAGGCAUCUCAGAACAAAUGUCAAGUGGAGUCCGGGGCACAGAGGGGAGCUGCCAUGUGGAAAUGGUGAGUAAGGAGAAUAUGGAGAGUGGUAGAGGGAAGUGGUGCAUUCUCCUCCCCUUGUCCUCAAGGGAGGGAGUGUGUUGUGUGGGGGAAAGCAGGCAUGUGCUAUGGGAUGGGGCACUAUGUGUGAUGUGAGGCGAGAGAGGAGGUGGUAUGGGGACCCCCUGAAGCAGAGAGAGGUCAGACAGACCAUCAGGGAUCUUGUGUGAAUAGCAGUGUCUCUUGCACACAGACCUAUGGAAGCAGCAAAGUGUACAACGCACAGGAUGCUCAAGGGAAGGCUGGAAGAACAUGUAGUUCUUCCAUCACAGCCUGACACCUUCUCCAGCUUUGAGCAAGGAGUGGGAAGAGGAGAGUGUUUGCAGGAAAAAGAGAUCUAACUCAAGAGUCACCUCUCUUCUUCUCCCUUCCCCCAUUCUUUAUGUGUAUUUGUGCAGUCAGGUACUUGAUGGGUGGUUUAAUGUAUUCAUUUUAUGUAUGCCAGGGUAGCUCCAUCACUGAUUGAACUCCACUGAAUCCAGAUCAUUAUUAGAAAAUUGCUUUAUAAAUAAGCCUGGACUGAGAGACACUUUCUAUGUUAAAUAGAAAGCAUUGUGCUUAUAGGCUGCCGCAUGUUUUCUUGAAACGCAAACACUGGCAGCAGGCACAUCAUUGUUAAACUAAUUAAAGUUUAAAGAGAGACCUUUAUACAUACUAGUCUAGCUAAUUUGUUGUCACAGGAUCAUAAUUCAUUAAAUAUAUUUUCUAUUGUUAGUUAAAUCAAUAGUGAGAAAAACAGAGCAUAUGGAAUAUGUCAGCUGAUGAGUCAAGAUGGAAGGAAACAUCUUUACUGAGUCUUUAAGAUAUGCCUUUUUCUACAGGUCCCUAGGAAGUUUCAGUGUAAAUAACUAUGAUGGACUUUGCCUGCAGAUAUCCUGCUAUGCUGAGCUGUGAUACUUCCAUUUUACAAAACCACUUGAAAACAAUGUUAAAGCAACUACUGCUUAGUGGUAAUUCAGGCCUCUGUAUUGGAGAGAAAAUUUGGAGGUGUAAAUGGAGGACAAAUUGAUCACAUGGCAUGAAAGUUAUGACAGUUUUAUUUAAAAUAGAUGUGUGAAAUGAUUCAUCCCAGGACACCAUACCUGU